Molecule: ribosomal RNA, 491 nt
Filed under: uncultured bacterium
Lineage: Bacteria
Description: partial 16S ribosomal RNA
Rfam family: Bacterial small subunit ribosomal RNA
Source: RNAcentral
GUGAACGCUGGCGGUAGGCCUCACACCUGCAAGUCGAACGGCAGCACAGUAAGAGCUUGCUCUUACGGGUGGCGAGUGGCGGACGGGUGAGGAAUACAUCGGAAUCUACUUUUUCGUGGGGGAUAACGUAGGGAAACUUACGCUAAUACCGCAUACGACCUACGGGUGAAAGCAGGGGAUCUUCGGACCUUGCGCGAUUGAAUGAGCCGAUGUCGGAUUAGCUAGUUGGCGAGGUAAAGGCCCACCAAGGCGACGAUCCGUAGCUGGUCUGAGAGGAUGAUCAGCCACACUGGAACUGAGACACGGUCCAGACUCCUACGGGAGGCAGCAGUGGGGAAUAUUGGACAAUGGGCGCAAGCCUGAUCCAGCCAUACCGCGUGGGUGAAGAAGGCCUUCGGGUUGUAAAGCCCUUUUGUUGGGAAAGAAAAGCAGCAGGUUAAUACCCCGCUGUUCUGACGGUACCCAAAGAAUAAGCACCGGCUAACUUCGUG